This 112-nucleotide unclassified non-coding RNA is filed under the name uncultured fungus. RNAcentral describes it as "sequence contains ITS1". Lineage: Eukaryota; Fungi. The record is from RNAcentral.
GUGUUGGACAAGGUUACGCAGGUUGAACCGCUGGCCGUGGCGUUCAACACGCUGAGUGAAGUGCCAUUGCGCUUGCCGUUUGUGAUCCCGAUGACGCUGCCGGGAUCGCCAA